Molecule: ribosomal RNA, 549 nt
Filed under: uncultured Burkholderiales bacterium
Lineage: Bacteria; Pseudomonadati; Pseudomonadota; Betaproteobacteria; Burkholderiales
Description: bacterial SSU rRNA
Rfam family: Bacterial small subunit ribosomal RNA
Source: RNAcentral
AUUAGGUAGUUGGUGGGAUAAAAGCUUACCAAGCCAACGAUCUGUAGCUGGUCUGAGAGGAUGAUCAGCCACACUGGGACUGAGACACGGCCCAGACUCCUACGGGAGGCAGCAGUGGGGAAUUUUGGACAAUGGGGGCAACCCUGAUCCAGCCAUGCCGCGUGCAGGACGAAGGCCUUCGGGUUGUAAACUGCUUUUGUACGGAACGAAAGGGACUGCUUUAAUAGGGUAGUUUUAUGACGGUACCGUAAGAAUAAGCACCGGCUAACUACGUGCCAGCAGCCGCGGUAAUACGUAGGGUGCGAGCGUUAAUCGGAAUUACUGGGCGUAAAGCGUGCGCAGGCGGUAUUGUAAGACAGAGGUGAAAUCCCUGGGCUCAACCUGGGAACUGCCUUUGUGACUGCAAUGCUGGAGUGCGGCAGAGGGGGAUGGAAUUCCGCGUGUAGCAGUGAAAUGCGUAGAUAUGCGGAGGAACACCGAUGGCGAAGGCAAUCCUCUGGGCCUGCACUGACGCUCAUGCACGAAAGCGUGGGGAGCAAACAGGAUUAG